Molecule: ribosomal RNA, 321 nt
Filed under: Triticum aestivum (bread wheat)
Lineage: Eukaryota; Viridiplantae; Streptophyta; Magnoliopsida; Poales; Poaceae
Description: partial small subunit ribosomal RNA
Source: RNAcentral
AUGUGGGCUUUGAGCUUUUUUCAUUUUAAAUGUUGGCAGUUAGGCCUGCUAAUUUCAUUGAUUAGGAAGAGAGUAGAAAAAAACCAAACCGGAUUGCUCAGGUCGAAGGCCCAAAAAAGGAAAAUAACUGAAACUACUCAGCCAGGGUCAAAAGGAAUUGAAGAGCCGGGAAAGUUACACAUAGUGAUUUCUGUUGAAAUAUAUUCCCCGCCUUCCUCCAUCAGUUUAAACUUUUGGAGUAACUGGCUGGAGCAUGAAUUCAAUAUGGUAUCAGAGCCAAGAGGUCUUGAGUCAAGACUCUGCCAACGCAAAAUUAAAUAA